Molecule: transfer RNA, 74 nt
Filed under: Caudoviricetes sp.
Lineage: Duplodnaviria; Heunggongvirae; Uroviricota; Caudoviricetes
Description: tRNA-Met
Rfam family: tRNA
About the family: Transfer RNA (tRNA) molecules are approximately 80 nucleotides in length. Their secondary structure includes four short double-helical elements and three loops (D, anti-codon, and T loops).
Source: RNAcentral
GGACCCUUAGCUCAGUUGGUUAGAGCAUCUGACUCAUAAUCAGGAGGUCACAGGUUCAAGCCCUGUAGGGUCCA